AAAAAAAGAAACAGAGUUGGAUUUGGACAAUCAAAACGGAGGCAACGAACAGAUCUAAUAGUACCGUCGUAUACAAGGCCCACUACUUUGCAACACAACCACCCGAGCGAGAUCAAUGACCAUAGUAUACGAAAAUCGUAGAUCUGAAAAUCUUUUAGAAGCAAACAAUCGUUAAUCCGGUUUGAUGGAUACAGAAAAAAGGCGGCUAGUGAAGGGUGAUAGCUCAGACAACCCCUCAGCAACCUGAUUCCGCAUAAGCCAUCACAGAUCCAAAACUGGAUAUGCUGUUAACCAUCGAACACCCACUGGAAACACACCAAUCCACAGCGUCUUCCGCCGCAGCUACAGCGUCUUCCGAGCAGUGUUAGUUUAUAAUUGAGUUUGGUCAUGCAUUUAAUUAGAUAUGCGUAAAUAGAACAACACGCGAGAUGUUAUAACCGUUACUUGUUAGAUAAGUUGUGUUGUUUCACUGAAAAGACACAAAUAGGAAGUGACACAACUCUUCAUGUGUUGUGUCUAUUUGUUUUCUAUUUAAACUCAUUGUAUCAUCAUGUAAAUAACCAACAAGUUUCAGUUCAAUAAAGAGUUAUUUUUGUUCUUGUCUUCUUUACAAGAGAAGAGACAAGUGUCUCUGUUUCUCUUUUUAUCACAAUAUUCCAACAUGGUAUCAAAGCUUUAUUGAUUCGAGG
RNAcentral lists this small RNA (689 nucleotides) under Arabidopsis thaliana (thale cress). RNAcentral's name for it is "putative long intergenic non-coding RNA". Lineage: Eukaryota; Viridiplantae; Streptophyta; Magnoliopsida; Brassicales; Brassicaceae. The record is from RNAcentral.